AUUGAUUAGAUCGUCGGAUUGGAAACUUCAAAUGCAAGAACUUCUCAUCAAGAAAAGGCCGCUGAGAAAGUUACAAGAAGGUACGGAUGAUGAACUGAGCUCUGUCGUUCUAUGUUCCGGAUCAAAUGAUCUUUUUUCUUUGCAUUGGUGAAAGAAAAUGUGAGACGGAACUACGAAUGGAAUACGGUGUAACUGUUGAUAAUGAGAAAGGAACAAAAGAGCAUCGAUCGAGAGGGGUGGUGAUGAUGGGCGGGCAGGAGAGAAAGGUGGGCAUCGCAAUGACAGCCAUCAUUGCGAAUCUUUUGGGCCUCCCGAGCCCAUCAUCAUGCCAGAUGCCCGCGUUAAAUCCCCAUAUCACCCCUUCGCGUACACAUCAUCGCGUGACGCCAUCACCCUCAUCCUUGGCUCAUUGCAAGCUUAACUCUACCCUUUCUCUGUGCCUCUCUUUGCUUGCCCAAACGCAAGCAUGAUUCUUGUGGCAUCUCACCAUUAUGAGAGAAAACGGGAGAGUCUCUUUUGGGAAGAGUAAAUACAAGAGAGCGAGCGAGAGAGAUAGAGGAGGCAUUUUCACCACUAUAAGUAUCCGAGGAAGCCUAUCCCGCCCACAACACGCAUAGCCGUCUCUUCUUCUCUAUCCCACUCUAUUCUUUCUCAUUCAAGUCUUCCCAUCUCUUACCCUGUCUCAGCCAUCAAAAAGGUGAGCGAUAUAUAAUGAGAACCUCAUACGAUUCUCAUCUUGUCGGCUUCCUUUCUUGGGCAAAGAGGGGCACUUUUCAGUUUUCAAGAAGUGAGGGGCGCUGCGGUUCCUGCCGGCAAGACAUGGAGAGGUUGAAUGCAAAGCUCUGCUUGCAGAACUAUUACAUAAUGAAAGAGAACGAGAGGCUGAGAAGGAAGGCACAGCUUCUCAGCCAGGAGAACCAGGCCCUGUUACAUGAGCUAAGAGAGAAGCUUUCCAACUCCAAUCCUAACUUUACCACCGUCAUCAACAGCGCCCCCACAACCAGCGAGGAAUCUAAUGGGAGCAAGCCUUGAUCUAGCAAAAACAUCUACCGAUAACUAUUUUUUUUUGGGUACUAUCCUGUGGUAGCUCAAUUAUAUAUGUUUCUUAUUUUAAAUGAUGCAAUGGAGACAGAUAUCCUUAAGCAUAA
Musa acuminata AAA Group (dessert banana) is the source of this 1148-nucleotide long non-coding RNA. RefSeq lists it as uncharacterized. Lineage: Eukaryota; Viridiplantae; Streptophyta; Magnoliopsida; Zingiberales; Musaceae. The transcript is spliced from 2 exons. The record is from RefSeq and is a predicted model, not a curated record.